Molecule: long non-coding RNA, 770 nt
Organism: Mauremys reevesii (Reeves's turtle)
Lineage: Eukaryota; Metazoa; Chordata; Testudines; Geoemydidae
Exons: 4
Source: RefSeq, a predicted model, not a curated record
AUUAGGUCAUACUGCAAAUUUGUGGCUGAUACAAAGGUUGAUUAAGAGAGCUGCAUGAUUUUAAAGUGAUGUUGUGUGAGGAGAAUUAAGUUCUGUGUGAUAGUUCCGGGAAAUGGGAGCCACCAUAACUAAGGAGAAAUAAUGUAUGGGCAAUAGCGGGGAGAACAUAUUUCCACAGAGUGCUUGAAGUAAUACUCAUUUACAAUUUAACAAAGUCCUCUCUCUCCUCUGGAAGAAUUGUAUUAUGGAUCUUGAAAACAAGCAAUGAAUUACAAUGAAGACACAGAGAGGUGAUCCCUGCUCUUGUUUCAGCAAAAGAUACAGCUACAUUAUGGAGGUGAAACAUGACUUUUGAUGAUCAAGCAUGCAGUGAUUAAAUAAGGAGCCUGGAAUAGAAGCCUGUUUCCUUACUAAAAAGGAUUUCAUCCAUCAAGCACAUACACUGAUGUGGGCAUGAAGUGAAAUGAUGGAGAAGGUUUUUUCCUCUGCUAUCUGUCACUGGAGUCUGUCUAAGCUCUGGAGAGCAUCAUCAUGACAGAAAAGGAAAAGCAAGAUAUUCCAGGAGAGAAGAGCAGAGCUUUACCUGCUAAACAAAAGGGAGAGAUAAACCUGGAACUGAAGAGACUGGGAGAAAGCAAUUUAGAGCUCAUUUGCUUAUCCUCCUAAUGCAGAUUUUUUUUUAGCAUACCUUCUGUGAUAUCUAUUUUUCUUGGCUAUGGUUCUCAUCAAUCGCUCUUUCUUCCUCACCUUUGUAGUUUGAUCUUCAUUCU